This 115-nucleotide microRNA precursor is filed under the name Mus pahari (shrew mouse). RNAcentral describes it as "miRNA (MGP_PahariEiJ_G0006541.1)". The record is from RNAcentral. Lineage: Eukaryota; Metazoa; Chordata; Mammalia; Rodentia; Muridae.
AAAAUGCCUACACGUGAUUGGCCUGUAGACAAGUCAAGUACAUUUUCCUGAUUGAAGAUUGAUAUGAAAAGCUACAGCCUACUGGGGCAGUGCCACCCCUGGGCAAGUAGUCCUG